AGCGAACGCUGGCGGCAGGCUUAACACAUGCAAGUCGAACGGUCCUUCGGGAUAGUGGCGGACGGGUGAGUAACACGUGGGAACGUACCCUUAGGUUCGGAACAACACAGGGAAACUUGUGCUAAUACCGGAUAAGCCAUUCGGGGGAAAGAUUUAUCGCCUUUGGAGCGGCCCGCGUCUGGUUAGCUUGUUGGUGAGGUAAUGGCUCACCAAGGCUACGAUCAGUAGCUGGUCUGAGAGGAUGGCCAGCCACACUGGGACUGAGACACGGCCCAGACUCCUACGGGAGGCAGCAGUGGGGAAUCUUGCGCAAUGGGCGAAAGCCUGACGCAGCCAUGCCGCGUGGAUGAUGAAGGUCUUAGGAUUGUAAAAUCCUUUCACCGGGGACGAUAAUGACGGUACCCGGAGAAGAAGCCCCGGCUAACUUCGUGCCAGCCGCCGCGGUAA
Molecule: ribosomal RNA, 447 nt
Filed under: uncultured bacterium
Lineage: Bacteria
Description: partial 16S ribosomal RNA
Rfam family: Bacterial small subunit ribosomal RNA
Source: RNAcentral